This 68-nucleotide transfer RNA is filed under the name Marmota monax (woodchuck). Its description in RNAcentral is "tRNA.Ala". The record is from RNAcentral. Lineage: Eukaryota; Metazoa; Chordata; Mammalia; Rodentia; Sciuridae.
GGAAUGUGGCUCAAGUGGUAGAGCGCUUGCCUGGCAUGCAUGCGGCCCAGGAUCGAUCCUCAGCACCA